Molecule: long non-coding RNA, 1075 nt
Organism: Mercurialis annua (annual mercury)
Lineage: Eukaryota; Viridiplantae; Streptophyta; Magnoliopsida; Malpighiales; Euphorbiaceae
Exons: 5
Source: RefSeq, a predicted model, not a curated record
UUGGCUCCAACUGUAAUUUUUCACUCCAUCUCAUCUCCUUUCAUUCAUCUAUUAACUUUUUUAACCUAAUUCUCUCAUUCAACAGAUUCCUCUCAUCUCCUCUCAUUUUCUCCAUCACCUCUCAAUCUCUGUCAUCAUCUAAAUCAUCAUUUUCAUGCCAUGGCUCAACAAUCAUUCGUCGUAUUUCUAUCAUGGUUGAUCGAACACCGCCGUCUAUCACUUUUGCCCAUCAUAAAACUUUGCUGCGUCAAUUUCUUAUCGCAUCUCAGUUUUUUUUGUUUAAUUUCGACCACACAACUGAGAUCGAACAUGAUGCGAAAUUGUUAUUUCAACUGAGAAUGAAUAGAGGAAUGAGAUUUUUGUAAUAGCUUGCAGUUCAGAUUUUUCGGUUUUGAUACAUUAAAAUGGGCUGCAAUUACCCCUGAAGCUUAGAUAUAUAGCAAUACAGUGAAGCAGCUUAAUACUCAUUCGACUGAUGCUCUUAUUGCUAAUUAAGCUUGCACAGGAAUGAACUUGGUAAGCCUUCUGAAUCAGGAAAUAAUUGUGGAGAAGAUACAGUUAGGUGUAGAAACAAAAUUGAGGAGUUCAAAUGACGCAACGAUAUUUCAGGAACAAGUAUAUUUAAAACUGGGUGGUGAAGCUCAAUGCAUGGGGCUGCCUACCAUUUCCUUAAGAUAGUAUCUGCUUUCCCUAAUAUGAACAGUCAUUUCCUCUCAUCUCCUACAUCCAGAGGUUCAAUUUCCAUAGAAGAGUGGAAGUUAGAGUAAGAGAAGGAAGGGCGGUCAAUAUUCACAUGUUUUGUGCUCGUAGACUGGGAUUACUUCUCUCUACUGUGAGGGCCUUGGACAAUCUUGAUUCAGCUGGUUUCCAUGGAAUGAUGCGAUUCACAGUUUGUAUGUGAAAUCAUAUGACAAACUGAUCAGGCGAUAACCUUAGUUCUUUAACUCAAUUUGUCUGUAGCAACAAAAUUAUGUUCUUUAGUAAUUUUUCUUUAUUUUCUAAUUUUUUUAGUAUCGAACAUCCUUAAUUUUAUGUUCUCUUUCUAAAUUAUGACGAUAAUUUUAAUGUUUUCCAG